CAGCCGCCACGGGAAUACGAAGGGGGCUAGCGUUGUUCGGAAUCACUGGGCGUAAAGCGCACGUAGGCGGACUUUUAAGCCAGGGGUGAAAUCCCAAGGCUCAACCUUGGAACUGCCUUUGAUACUGGAAGUCUUGAGUUCGGGAGAGGUGAGUGGAACUGCGAGUGUAGAGGUGAAAUUCGUAGAUAUUCGCAAGAACACCAGUGGCGAAGGCGGCUCACUGGCCCGAUACUAACGCUGAGGUGCGAAAGCGUGGGGAGCAAACAGGAUUAGAUACCCCCGUAGUCCCUGUCUCUUAUAC
This 301-nucleotide ribosomal RNA is filed under the name uncultured bacterium. RNAcentral describes it as "partial 16S ribosomal RNA". It matches the Rfam family "Bacterial small subunit ribosomal RNA", at positions 509 to 807 of the family's 1533-position model. The record is from RNAcentral.